UUUGAGCGGGGGACAACAUUUGGAAACGAAUGCUAAUACCGCAUAAAAACUUUAAACACAAGUUUUAAGUUUGAAAGAUGCAAUUGCAUCACUCAAAGAUGGUCCCGCGUUGUAUUAGCUAGUUGGUGAGGUAAAGGCUCACCAAGGCGAUGAUACAUAGCCGACCUGAGAGGGUGAUCGGCCACAUUGGGACUGAGACACGGCCCAAACUCCUACGGGAGGCAGCAGUAGGGAAUCUUCGGCAAUGGACGAAAGUCUGACCGAGCAACGCCGCGUGAGUGAAGAAGGUUUUCGGAUCGUAAAACUCUGUUGGUAGAGAAGAACGUUGGUGAGAGUGGAAAGCUCAUCAAGUGACGGUAACUACCCAGAAAGGGACGGCUAACUACGUGCCAGCAGCCGCGGUAAUACGUAGGUCCCGAGCGUUGUCCGGAUUUAUUGGGCGUAAAGCGAGCGCAGGUGGUUUAUUAAGUCUGGUGUAAAAGGCAGUGGCUCAACCAUUGUAUGCAUUGGAAACUGGUAGACUUGAGUGCAGGAGAGGAGAGUGGAAUUCCAUGUGUAGCGGUGAAAUGCGUAGAUAUAUGGAGGAACACCGGUGGCGAAAGCGGCUCUCUGGCCUGUAACUGACACUGAGGCUCGAAAGCGUGGGGAGCAAACAGGAUUAGAUACCCUGGUAGUCCACGCCGUAAACGAUGAGUGCUAGAUGUAGGGAGCUAUAAGUUCUCUGUAUCGCAGCUAA
RNAcentral lists this ribosomal RNA (736 nucleotides) under Lactococcus lactis. RNAcentral's name for it is "bacterial SSU rRNA". It matches the Rfam family "Bacterial small subunit ribosomal RNA", at positions 131 to 855 of the family's 1533-position model. Lineage: Bacteria; Bacillati; Bacillota; Bacilli; Lactobacillales; Streptococcaceae. The record is from RNAcentral.